Molecule: transfer RNA, 92 nt
Filed under: Endozoicomonas euniceicola
Lineage: Bacteria; Pseudomonadati; Pseudomonadota; Gammaproteobacteria; Oceanospirillales; Endozoicomonadaceae
Description: tRNA-Sec
Rfam family: Selenocysteine transfer RNA
Source: RNAcentral
GGAAGCAGAUAGGGUCUGGUGGCCCUCUCGGUCUUCAAAACCGAUGUGAGCUGAGAAAGCUCUGGCAGGUUCGAUUCCUGCCUCUUCCGCCA